Molecule: ribosomal RNA, 648 nt
Filed under: uncultured Micromonospora sp.
Lineage: Bacteria; Bacillati; Actinomycetota; Actinomycetes; Micromonosporales; Micromonosporaceae
Description: bacterial SSU rRNA
Rfam family: Bacterial small subunit ribosomal RNA
Source: RNAcentral
CGCGGCCUAUCAGCUUGUUGGUGAGGUGAUGGCCUACCAAGGCGACGACGGGUAGCCGGCCUGAGAGGGCGACCGGCCACACUGGGACUGAGACACGGCCCAGACUCCUACGGGAGGCUGCAGUGGGGAAUAUUGCACAAUGGGCGGAAGCCUGAUGCAGCGACGCCGCGUGAGGGAUGACGGCCUUCGGGUUGUAAACCUCUUUCAGCAGGGACGAAGCGUAAGUGACGGUACCUGCAGAAGAAGCGCCGGCCAACUACGUGCCAGCAGCCGCGGUAAGACGUAGGGCGCGAGCGUUGUCCGGAUUUAUUGGGCGUAAAGAGCUCGUAGGCGGCUUGUCGCGUCGACUGUGAAAACCCGCAGCUCAACUGCGGGCCUGCAGUCGAUACGGGCAGGCUAGAGUUCGGUAGGGGAGACUGGAAUUCCUGGUGUAGCGGUGAAAUGCGCAGAUAUCAGGAGGAACACCGGUGGCGAAGGCGGUUCUCUGGGCAUUACCUGACGCUGAGGAGCGAAAGUGUGGGGAGCGAACAGGAUUAGAUACCCUGGUAGUCCACACCGUAAAACGUUGGGCGCUAGGUGUGGGGGGCCUCUCCGGUUCCCUGUGCCCGCAUCUAACGCGUUAAGCGUCCCCGCCUGGGGGAUUAGGGA